CCUACGGGGGGCAGCAGUGGGGAAUAUUGGACAAUGGGGGGAACCCUGAUCCAGCCAUGCCGCGUGUGUGAAGAAGGCCCUCGGGUUGUAAAGCACUUUCAGUGAGGAAGAACGCCUGGUGGUUAAUACCCAUCAGGAAAGACAUCACUCACAGAAGAAGCACCGGCUAACUCCGUGCCAGCAGCCGCGGUAAUACGGAGGGUGCGAGCGUUAAUCGGAAUUACUGGGCGUAAAGCGCGCGUAGGUGGCUUGAUAAGCCGGUUGUGAAAGCCCCGGGCUCAACCUGUGAACGGCAUCCGGAACUGUCAAGCUAGAGUGCAGGAGAGGAAGGUAGAAUUCCCGGUGUAGCGGUGAAAUGCGUAGAGAUCGGGAGGAAUACCAGUGGCGAAGGCGGCCUUCUGGACUGAAACUGACACUGAGGUGCGAAAGCGUGGGUAGCAAACAGGAUUAGAUACCCUUGUAGUC
This 465-nucleotide ribosomal RNA is filed under the name Vreelandella stevensii. Its description in RNAcentral is "partial 16S ribosomal RNA". It matches the Rfam family "Bacterial small subunit ribosomal RNA", at positions 338 to 795 of the family's 1533-position model. The record is from RNAcentral. Lineage: Bacteria; Pseudomonadati; Pseudomonadota; Gammaproteobacteria; Oceanospirillales; Halomonadaceae.